RNAcentral lists this long non-coding RNA (1498 nucleotides) under Olea europaea subsp. europaea. Lineage: Eukaryota; Viridiplantae; Streptophyta; Magnoliopsida; Lamiales; Oleaceae. The record is from RNAcentral.
GCGGUCUUAUACGAAUCGACAAAUCACCAUGGAGUUGCUCCACAUUCUAUGUCAAUAAUUUUACCAAAAUUGAACGAGGGGCUUAAAGGAUCGAUAUCAAUUACAAACCUCUCAAUGAAGCUUUUCAAUGGAUAAGAUAUCCAUUACCUUAAAAGAAGAUAUGUUAAAUAGAUAAUUCAAAACGGCUAUUUUCUUAAAAUUUGACAUGAAGUUAGGAUUCUAGCAAAUUCAAAUUAAAGAAGAAGACAGAUAUAAAAUUACCUUCAGUGUUCUUUUUGGUGCUUCCUUAGAAUUUCAAAAAUCAUGAAUGAUAUUUUCAAUCCUUUUAAAAAUUUUAUAAUAAUUUACAGUGAUGAUGUUCUAAUUUAUUCUGAAAGUUUAGAAAAUCAUUUCAAACAUCUUAAUACAUUCAUUCAUAUGGUCAUGAAAAAUGGACUAAUAGUUUCUGCUAAGAAAUUCUUUCUUUGUCAAACACACAUUAGGUUUCUAGGGCACAAUAUUCAUCUAGGAACCAUUAUCCCAAUUCAAAGAAGUCAAGAUUUUACAAACAAAUUUUUUGAUGAAAUCUUGGAUAAAUCUAGCCUGAAGCGAUUUUUAGGCUAAAUCAAUUACGUUACUUUUUUAAAAAUAUAAGGGUGAUAUGUAUUCCACUUUUCAAAGACUGCAAAAAAUCAUGUUCCCUGGAGUCACAAGCAUACUUUAGCUAGACAAAAAGUUAAAGAUGCUGUCAAAAGCAUCUCAUGCCUUUCAAUUAUCGAUCCUUUAGCCUCUAUUAUUGUCGAGAAGGUACGUACAAAAUAUUAUACUGAACUUGUCAAGUUGGAUGAAGGAAAAAUGUUUGUGGAAGAUGCCAUAUACUAGAGCGAAUUUAAAAGGUAGGCAUAGGAUUCACUUGAAAAGUUGGAAAAGAAAGACUUGCCAUCAUCUGUGAAUUUAAAUUAUGAAUCACCCAUUCAACUCAAGGAGAUAUUAACUAUUGAAGAAGAAUAUAUAGAGGAUGACAAAGUAAUUACAAAGGAAUCAAAUGAAGAAGUGGCAAUUAUUGAAGAUGAAAUUAACACAGGUUCUUUUGACUUCAUUGAUUGCCAAUAAUUAAAUUUGUGAUUAAGCUCGAGGAAGAAGUAGAAGUCUACAUAGUUGAGUUUGAAUUGGAUUGAAUGAGCAAGUAAUAUUACAUUGAAGAAUGCAAGAUAAAGAUUUAGAGAAUCAAUGAAAAGUGGAGCAAAGUUAAAAGAAGCAAGAUUACUUUCUUCAAAAUUUCAUGAUACAGAUUUUUAAAAAUUGAAAUCAAGCUAAUGACUAUAAACAAACACUUAUUGGUAAGCCAAUUUUCUUUCUUUUUAUUUAUUGUACUUUCUAGAUAUUAAAGCAGGUAAUUUUUAUUGCUUUUGUGUGCUAGGUAAUAGCUUAUAUUUCUUCAUCCCCAUAUUUCCCUAUAGGUUGCGAUGUGUUUGAGCUCAAUAUGAAUUAUUUCAUAUUAUCAUUGAUUGAUUUCUCU